GAUGAACGCUGGCGGCGUGCUUAACACAUGCAAGUCGAACGAUGAAGCCCAGCUUGCUGGGUGGAUUAGAGGCGAACGGGUGAGUAACACGUGAGUAACCUGCCCUUAACUCUGGGAUAAGCCUGGGAAACUGGGUCUAAUACCGGAUAGGAGCGUCCACCGCAUGGUGGGUGUUGGAAAGAUUUAUCGGUUUUGGAUGGACUCGCGGCCUAUCAGCUUGUUGGUGAGGUAAUGGCUCACCAAGGCGACGACGGGUAGCCGGCCUGAGAGGGUGACCGGCCACACUGGGACUGAGACACGGCCCAGACUCCUACGGGAGGCAGCAGUGGGGAAUAUUGCACAAUGGGCGAAAGCCUGAUGCAGCGACGCCGCGUGAGGGAUGACGGCCUUCGGGUUGUAAACCUCUUUCAGUAGGGAAGAAGCGAAAGUGACGGUACCUGCAGAAGAAGCACCGGCUAACUACGUG
RNAcentral lists this ribosomal RNA (466 nucleotides) under uncultured bacterium. RNAcentral describes it as "partial 16S ribosomal RNA". It matches the Rfam family "Bacterial small subunit ribosomal RNA", at positions 28 to 507 of the family's 1533-position model. The record is from RNAcentral.